Homo sapiens (human) is the source of this 2514-nucleotide long non-coding RNA. RefSeq lists it as uncharacterized. The record is from RefSeq and is a predicted model, not a curated record. The transcript has 2 exons. NCBI's taxonomy places the organism in Eukaryota, Metazoa, Chordata, Mammalia, Primates, Hominidae.
GCCACCGCACCCUGCCGAUGCCUCAGUUUUCUUAUCUGUAAAGCAAGGAUGAUGGCACCCAACUCCUGUGGGUGACUGUAGUAAAGGCUAAAUGAGAUCAUAGGAAUCAGGCAUUUCGUGCAAAGCAUGGGGCCAGCUCCACGAGGCAUGAGCUUUGUUUCAUCUCUCCUGUGCAGUGCUAUAGAUCAGGUCCUGGUUCAUAGGAAUUGCUCAAUCAAAUAUUUUGGAGAGAAAAGUUAAUAAAUAAACAUAUCAGUGGCUCAGGUAAUGUCAGUUCCUUCUCUAGGCAAGACCUAAUCCAUCUACCUUGUUUUACAGAUGGGAAGAUAAGACCCAGAAAACAGAAAGGACAUGUUUAAGGCCAUGCAGCAAGUUAGUGCCUGACCUGAAUAUUGAAGUGAGGCCCUACUACCAUCAGCCAUGGGAACCAUGGCUGGAUGGGUCCCAAGCAAUGAAGACCUUCUGGGUGUCUAGGGGAGAGGUUUGGGCCCUCCUCCAUGUGCGUGUGUGUGUGCGCGUGCAAGUGUGUGUGUCUGGGAAGCCAGAAGAUUACACUCUUCUUUCUAGGCCUUCUAGCCCUUGCUGGAAGGCCUGUAGUGAGUGGAUGGCCUGCCUUACCCUCUGCACAUCCCGCCCUGUUUAUUGAGAUUUCCAUCCAGCCUGAACUCCUGUGGGGAGGUGUUAUCUUCUGGACCAGAGCCCUAUCUGCCAUGAAGCCAUUGUGGUGUCACAGGGGCUUCUGAGAGAUCCCAGGCUGGAGACGGAAAGCAGAAGAUUUGAAGUGGUGGGAGGCAGGGGCUGGUGUCAUAACACACUUUCCACCCCUGGGCUGGGAGGGGCACUCCCUCCUGCUGAACUCUCCCAGGCCAGUGACCUCAUCUUGCUCCUGUGCUUGUUUUCCAAAGGGUGUUGUAAGUUGACUGUCUGCUUUCUUCCACAACACUCAAAGUGUGGCCUGUGGAGCAACAGCUUCAGCCACAGCUGGGAGCUGGUUAGAAGUGCAACAUCUCAGGCCCCACCCUAGAACAUUAACAUCUCUGGAGAGAAGAAUAUUGAGGAUCAAAGAGACCAAGACUGCAAGCGUAAAAACUAAGAUUGGAACCAAAGCCAGUUCUUCUUGAUCCCAGGGUCUGCGCCCUUCUUCUGUUCCAUGUUUCAUUGUUCUUGGUGGACCUGGGGAUCAAUAGCUAGAAGUUAAAGGACAAACUGAUUUGGGAAGUGCUUCCAGUGCUGUCUUGAGUGAUGUCUAGAGAUUAGCAGACUGGCUGUGAAGUGGUGAGCUGCCCAUCACUGGAACCGUGCAAGCAGAGACUGGUCAUGGUGAUCACGGUGUUGGUCCUGUGUGAGUGUGAUGUGGGGAAGAAUUGAGACCAGAUGACCUUUGAGGGCCUUCUGCUGUCUGAGGCGGGCCUGCUUGGGCCUGCUCCCAGGUCAGUGCCCCAUGGAUGGAGCCUCUGAAGCCAGCUGCUCAUUAUCUGUGGAUCCUCUGCGGGGACACUGCCAGCUCCCAAACAGGAAACAUGUCCAGAAAUCUGUAAUUAGAGCUGGGAGCCACAGGCCUGAGAGGUGCCUGCUGCAGCUUCAAGUGCAGACACGCCACCCUGGUUAAGUCCCUGGGAGAGAACCCAGUGAGUCAGGCCCUCAGAUCUUCUCCCUGCCUGUGGCACCCCCGCCCCACCCCAUUCCCCUUGGAAGGAAACCUGCUUUGGCCAGGAACCUACUGGGUGAAUGGGUUUCAUAUACAUUCUCUCCUCUGUUCUUCCCCAGAACCGUGGGAGAGAGGAAACAUCUGCCAUGAUGCAGGCAAGGAAUGCAAAGCUCCCAGACAUCAUGUGGCUCACUCAAGGUCACCCUACUAUGGCCCUUGCCUUUCUGAGUGCCUGGUUUGACCUCUUGAUCCCUCCAGGGGAGAACGUCACAGUCAAAGGAGGGGUGCAAGAGGCCAGUGGCACACAGAGAGGUCUGUGUGGGCCUGAGUGGCUCCUGGGUCUUCCCUGACUGACCAUAACGCCUUUCAGCCUUUCUGAAUCUGCCAUGAAGGGACGGGUCCUUGCAGUGUUCCUCUGCCAGGCUGCCUGGCAACCCAUGGCAAUUGUGGUGGUGUUAAAACAUGGCCACAGGCCAGGCACGGUGGCUCAUGCCUGUAAUUCCAGCACUUUGCAUAGGGUAUGGCAGAAGAGACCCUAAGUGAGUAAAGACCAUGCCCCUGCAAAUUAUACUUUGUUUGCUGGAACACUCACUCUUGGAGCCCUGAGCCACCAUGUAAAGAAGUAGGAAGAUUCACUGUCCUGAAGCUGCCAUGUUGUGAGGAAGCCCAAGCCACAUGGAGGGGCCAUGUCUAGGUGCUCCAGUCAACAGUCCCAGCUGAGCUUAGCCAUCUAACAUCCCCAGCUAUUUUAGUUUUUCCUGAAAUCCCAGAAAUCAUGGAAUAGAGACAAAUCUCUCCUGCUGUGCUCUGUCUGAACUGCUGACCCACAGAAUCUGGGCACAUAAUAAAAUUAUUUUGUGCCAUUA